This 583-nucleotide ribosomal RNA is filed under the name Ischnura fluviatilis. RNAcentral's name for it is "partial large subunit ribosomal RNA". It matches the Rfam family "Eukaryotic large subunit ribosomal RNA", at positions 1410 to 1940 of the family's 3401-position model. The record is from RNAcentral. Lineage: Eukaryota; Metazoa; Arthropoda; Insecta; Odonata; Coenagrionidae.
UCUGGGCUCGAGCCUGCCUGGAGCCGCCGCCGGUGCAGAUCUUGGUGGUAGUAGCAAAUACUCCAGCGAGGCCCUGGAGGACUGAUGUGGAGAAGGGUUUCGUGUGAACAGCCGUUGCACACGAGUCAGUCGAUCCUAAGCCCUAGGAGAAAUCCGACGCCUACGGCGACGGGAUUUUUGAAAUUAUGAAACCCGUUGAUCGGGCGAAAGGGAAUCCGGUUCCUAUUCCGGAACCCGGCAGCGGAACCGCUGUUUGUCGGGCCCUCACAAGGGGUUCGUCAGGGUAACCUAAAAGGGCCCGGAGACGCCGUCGGGAGCCCCGGAAAGAGUUUUCUUUUCUGCAUGAGCGUUCGAGUUCCCUGGAAUCCUCUCGCAGGGAGAUAGGGUUUGGAACGCGAAGAGCACCGCAGUUGCGGCGGUGCCCGGGAAUUCCCGACGGACCUUGAAAAUCCGGGAGAGGGCCACGUGGAGGUGUCGCGCCGGCUCGUACCCAUAUCCGCAGCAGGUCUCCAAGGUGAAGAGCCUCUAGUCGAUAGAAUAAUGUAGGUAAGGGAAGUCGGCAAAUCGGAUCCGUAACUUCGGG